UAGAUCUCUAGAUCCAAAUUGGGAUUAGUUUCCUAAACAGAUAUGUGAUCAAUGGAGUAAUGUGCUUUUAGUUUGAUAAUGCAUGAUGCACUUUGAGAAAAAGUGGAUGAACUAAAUUUUGUGUGUGGUGAUCCUUUUUAUGGUCUUAUGCAAAAUGUGCAAAUGUUGCACAUACAUUUCACUAGCUCCUCACUAUGUGUUUUUUCAGUUGACCAUCUGAUUUUUUCAUGUUUUGUUGACAGGCCUAUGUAUUUGUAUUAGUAGGG
Molecule: unclassified non-coding RNA, 266 nt
Filed under: Hevea brasiliensis (rubber tree)
Lineage: Eukaryota; Viridiplantae; Streptophyta; Magnoliopsida; Malpighiales; Euphorbiaceae
Source: RNAcentral